RNAcentral lists this transfer-messenger RNA (401 nucleotides) under bacterium. It matches the Rfam family "transfer-messenger RNA". From Rfam's summary of the family: Bacterial tmRNA, also known as 10Sa RNA or SsrA, is named for its dual tRNA and mRNA-like properties. Its role is to liberate the mRNA from a stalled ribosome. The record is from RNAcentral.
GGGGCUGAAUAGCUCGACAUUUGGACAUUUACAAGUUGGUGUCAGCAGACCGGUUGUCUGAACGUUAUCCGGACAAACCAAAUAGAUGCAGAAUCUCUGAAAUCUAUUGCAAAACAAGUUGCUAGCGCUUUCCGCGCACCACAAUUUGCUUUUGCAACAGCUGCCUAAUUAUUUUCGCAGCGACUGUUAGUUUCACAUCAGAUAAGACGAAACAGUCUCAUAUUUUUCUGAUUGCUUAAACACUAUGGUCCAUAGUGUUUACUAAGAUUUAGGAUUGCAGCGGUUCAUGUUUUUGUCAGUUUCGAUCAUGAACAGCUUAAGAAACCAAUCAAACCGACUAUGUCUGUAGAAAGCCAAUGAGUAACCGAAUGGACGCGGGAUCAAACCCGCCAGCUCCACCA